GAUGAACGCUAGCUACAGGCUUAACACAUGCAAGUCGAGGGGCAGCAUGAACAUAGCUUGCUAUGUUUGAUGGCGACCGGCGCACGGGUGCGUAACACGUAUCCAAUCUGCCCGUCACUCGGGGAUAGCCUUCUGAAAGGAAGAUUAAUACCCGAUGGCAUGCAUUUCCGGCAUCGGAGAUGCAUUAAAGAUUUAUCGGUGACGGAUGAGGAUGCGUACGAUUAGCUGGUUGGCGGGGUAACGGCCCACCAAGGCUACGAUCGUUAGGGGUUCUGAGAGGAAGGUCCCCCACACUGGAACUGAGACACGGUCCAGACUCCUACGGGAGGCAGCAGUGAGGAAUAUUGGUCAAUGGGCGAGAGCCUGAACCAGCCAAGUAGCGUGAAGGAUGACUGCCCUACGGGUUGUAAACUUCUUUUGUUUGGGAAUAAAAGACGCUACGCGUAGCGUUCUGCAUGUACCUUACGAAUAAGCAUCGGCUAAUUCCGUG
RNAcentral lists this ribosomal RNA (490 nucleotides) under uncultured bacterium. RNAcentral describes it as "bacterial SSU rRNA". It matches the Rfam family "Bacterial small subunit ribosomal RNA", at positions 28 to 507 of the family's 1533-position model. The record is from RNAcentral.